RNAcentral lists this non-coding RNA (21 nucleotides) under Caenorhabditis elegans. Lineage: Eukaryota; Metazoa; Nematoda; Chromadorea; Rhabditida; Rhabditidae. The record is from RNAcentral.
UAAUUUCUUCCUAUCUUGUUU